This 425-nucleotide ribosomal RNA is filed under the name uncultured bacterium. RNAcentral's name for it is "partial 16S ribosomal RNA". It matches the Rfam family "Bacterial small subunit ribosomal RNA", at positions 354 to 796 of the family's 1533-position model. The record is from RNAcentral.
GUGGGGAAUCUUGCGCAAUGGGCGAAAGCCUGACGCAGCCAUGCCGCGUGAAUGAUGAAGGUCUUAGGAUUGUAAAAUUCUUUCACCGGGGACGAUAAUGACGGUACCCGGAGAAGAAGCUCCGGCUAACUUCGUGCCAGCAGCCGCGGUAAUACGAAGGGGGCUAGCGUUGCUCGGAAUUACUGGGCGUAAAGGGCGCGUAGGCGGAUAUUUAAGUCGGGGGUGAAAGCCCGGGGCUCAACCUCGGAAUAGCCUUCGAUACUGGAUAUCUUGAGUACGGGAGAGGUGUGUGGAACUCCGAGUGUAGAGGUGAAAUUCGUAGAUAUUCGGAAGAACACCAGUGGCGAAGGCGACACACUGGCCCGUUACUGACGCUGAGGCGCGAAAGCGUGGGGAGCAAACAGGAUUAGAUACCCCAGUAGUCC